RNA transcript from Alexandromys fortis (reed vole), 5108 nucleotides. It is a transcript of the gene named zinc finger protein 120-like, with no coding region annotated. The record is from RefSeq and is a predicted model, not a curated record. The transcript is spliced from 5 exons. NCBI's taxonomy places the organism in Eukaryota, Metazoa, Chordata, Mammalia, Rodentia, Cricetidae.
AAGGAUCUGCAGUUGUGUCUUUUAUGGGGCCUGUAAACCCUGCCUCUCAAUAAUGUGAUUACAUAUACGAGAGACCCCUGACAACAGCAGUUCAUGUGCAAAUGUGGACAGGGCAAUCCCACAUGCAACACCACUAGAAGAACUACCGGUUGUCAUUGCCUAUGAAGGGGGGGGGGGAUGUUUCUCCUACAGGGACAAGAUCCCACAUAGGCUGUUCAGUCCCCAUUGGUCCAAUCUGGACACAGGGAAAAAUGAUCAAGGCUGAUUGGACUCAGUAGGUUAGAAACACAUGUGUGUAAGUAUGUGCACAAACCACACAUACACAUGCGUGUUGCUCAGUAGAGAGAUCAUAAUUUGGGGAGAGGUCCAUGAGGUAAACUGAGGCACAAAGGGAAAUGGGCUUGGUGGAAGGUAUUUAGAUGCAGUUUUCAUAUGUGAAGUUCUCAACGGACCUAAAAGAACUAGUUCGUAGUUGGGCAGCAAUAUUGAGAAAAUGUGAAAACUGCAUCUGGGAAUUUGAGGACUAGUUCACCAAGUUAUUGAAAAUGUUUUCCCAAAGUAAAGGAAAAAACACAAAUGGAAUAAUUGUUGGAGGUUGCUCCAGCUGAGAAAUACAAAUUAAUGGAUUAAAAUGACCUACCACAAUGUAGUACAAGGAAUAUUAAAAAUCGGUGAAGAAAAUAAUGGUUUUGGUCAUGUUUUGUAUUGUUUUAAUUUUAGGCUAUUGAGGCAGAAACAGGAAUGAUAAGCCAUGAGGAGUUAAUGAUGUAACUUUUGAGUUCACAAAGUAAAGGAUUUAACAUAGCCCUCAGCACGGCGUUAAACAAGAGAGAGGCCUCUUAGGGAUGUGGAUUUUGGAUUAUAAUAAUAAUAAUUAUUAUUAUUUGGGUUUUCAAGGCAGGGUUUCUCUGUGUUAUGGAGCCUGUCGGGACACUGGCUCUCUAGACCAGGCGACUUUCUCUGCCUCCUGAGAGGUGGGAUUCAAGGUCUGUGUCAUCACUGCUCAGCUUGGAUGCUGGAUUCUUAACAGAGCCUGCCUUUUUGUUUCAGAGUAUUAGGUCUUUGAAGACAGGAGUUCCCCAGAAUCCGUUGAUGGUGGAUUUAGGUGUGAUUACAAGUCAACAGUGUACUGAUAUCGACCGAUGACCCGUUAACUCAGGAUAAACUAGAAGCAGAGACUGAACCCCAAUCCGACCUCCAGAAACCCAGUCUGUUCUCAUACUGAAAGGAGACCCUGGAAUGGAAGAAGUGAGGGGAGAUGCAGCCCGGAUGGGAUGUCUCUGCACAAAAGGCAGAGAACAAGCAAGAAUUCUACCCUAACCCUGCAAUCACAGGACCCAGCUGCAGUCCAGGUCGCAGAUCAGAACCCACGGCACGAGGGAUGUGGCUAAGAGUCAGUUGGUGGCAGUUAUGUGCUGUUGGAGGCAGGGCUUUCACUUGGAGGACACCAGUGGCCGAGGCAGUGCGCACAGACAUUGCAGUGUGGCACGGAUUGGAAGGAGUUUCUGAUCUGCUCAAGCAACACCAGUUGGUGUGGAAAUUCUGAAGAAACUUCUGAGAAAGAGAAGAGAGGACGUGAUAAUGCAGAUGGACCCAAAAAGCAGUGCCUCUGAAGAGGAUUCUCACAGAUCCUUCAUGACCCAGUGUGCAAUGCUGUUCUCAUGACUGUAGUGAACUGUGCACACCAUCUGAGUGAAGAUUGCUGGACCUGCUGCUCCUGCAGACAGCCUACUUUCUCAGUGUGGCUCACCAGAUCGCCAUGAACAGCAUGCUCCAUCACCAUAUAGGUGUGCUCUUUGGUAUCGAUGAUGUGGAACAGCUAGAUGAUGUUUGCCUGGUCCAGCUCUUUGAAGAUGUCAAUUUCUGUUAUGUUGCUAUAGUCAUUCUUUCUACCAUUUUCAAGGAUAACAGCAACUUGCACCUUUGUGUGGAAGUGACGGACCAGCUUUACCUCAGCAAAGGUCUCUUUUCCAGGAGUCCUGAGUAUGAUUUAGGGGUUUACGUGAUAAGCCUCUCUGAUUCUCUAUGUCCCUAUGAAUAAUGCUGUUCUCAUGACUGUAGUGAACUGCACACACCAUCUGACAGAAGAUGUGCUGAGCCUGCUCCUCCUGCAGACAGCCCACUUUCUCAAUGUGGCCUGCCAGAUCCCCCUUUGUUGUUGCCUACUCCAUUAUGUAUUAAUGGUCUCUAGUAUUGAUGAUGUUUGACUGGUCCAGCACUUUCAUGAUGUUGAUUUCUGUGAUUUUGCUGUAGUCAUGUGUCCUACCAUUUAUCCGGAUCUUCAUAGCAUCUCACCACUCUGUGUGGAGGUGGCAGACCAGCUUUACCUCAGCAGAGGUCUCUUGUCCGAGGGUCCUGAGUAUGACAUAAUGAUCUUUGUAAGGGAUAAGCCUCUCUGCAGGCUGAGACCCGAGAUGGGUAUUUUUGUGGUGUGACAGAGAAGGCAGAUGAGGGAGCCCUGCAGGGAGUCCAGAUGGCAGUGUGCUUUACUACAGAGAAGUCCAGCACAAAAAGAGUUAAAACCUCUACCGUAGGCUUCUCCAGAGGAACACAUAGUAAACAUGACAUAUGUCCCACUUAUGGCCUUCCCUAGCAUCGUUGUAAGAGUGGAGCAGUGUGCAAACCCCACAAAAGCUGCUCGUGAAUUAGAAGCACCUAAAUAACUAUUUGCGUGGACACGGAAGAGCAAAGCUCAUUCAUCUGUCUCUCGUAUCAAGGAGACACUGUCCACUGCAUGCUGGUUCAGUCUAGAUGUUGGAGAAAGGACCAGUUACUCUGUGAUGUUUACCAGCACCGUAUUUGUGUCUUGACAGGACAGUGACUGCAAGGUGCCUGGUCACAUCCUGAAACAGACACCCAGGGAAUUCCUGACCUGAGGACGUGCACACUCAGCACGGGAGCCAGUGAUGCAGGAGAGCUCUCUCUUUUCGCUGGAAAACUAGCAGGCCCUUUCCUGAGCUCUCAGUUCAGAAGCUCCCCACAGGUUCAGGAGGAUAUCCUGGGUAGGGCAAUGAAAUGAAUUCUGUUGCAGCAUCCAAUCACAGACCCCCUCCCCAAUUAUCAGCAAAUUCUAAGGGUGACAGACGCAUCAAAUUGUAGAUGUUUUACUGUGGAAUCCUUGUUCCACUUCGAUGCUGUGCAUAUUUUGACAAGCACAGAGGUGACCUAUGCCUCUCUAUUCUGACAGACGCCCCGGGAAACCUGCUUGAGCAGAUAAAGUGCCCCAGUAGAGCGGGUGGGAACUAAUGAGCCUCUUUGCAAAGUAUGGGGACAGCAUUGCCUGGGAAGGGCAGUGUCCAGGGCCUCUUUUCCAGGCCAUCAAUCACAUGGUGUACUUGAGGUCCUCCACUUGUAUGUCAUUUGUCUUGGAGAAACAAUUAACAAAUACUGAAAAUACUGAAAUAUUGAUGUAGAAUUCCAAGAGGAUUUAUUCUAAUUGACAUUCAGAAGAGUUUAGGAUGUCUGAGAAGACGACAAAGGAAUAGAAUCUCUCAGACACCUCUGUUUCUCAGCACCCAUCACUGUUGUUAAAGUGACAGACCCUACCCACCUUAUGUCAGCUAAUUUUCUCACUGGCAUCCAGGGAAAGCAAGGCAGUGAAAAUGGACUGCCCUCCAAGGGCUGGAGGAUAACUGUGCAAAGCAGUCAAUAGCAAACCCAUUAGAAAACUCAACUUGAUCUCAAAUGUUACACUUGCCCCAGAUCCAAACACUACAAUGUUCAUGUAACAGUUACAGAAGAGAUCUAUGUAAGUUUCUGCUCAUAAGGAGGAAGAUCAGAAACACCCGGAGAACAUGAACUGUUCUCAUGUGAGCUCUGCAGCCACGGCCCAAGAAAUAGAGAGACUGGAGAACGGCUUGAGGAGACAACUCCUCAGGACAUCUGGAGAGAGUUUGGACUCUGACGCACCCCCGGAGAGGACAAAUUCCUGUUCUAAGCCAAGAUGGUGGUUUACUGCUUAGCGGUGUCAGCAGUGUCCAGGCAGACAGGCCGAUGUGCUCUGUGCACCGCUCUUUACACCCAUGCAACCCCCAAGAUUACUACAAAAGGAUGUGAGACAGAAGCACAGUGAUAACUUUCCAAAGUUGGGGGUCACAUCCAUCUCUGACUGUUAACUUUUUCCUAAGCCCAGGAGGAGGAGGAGGUUGAAGAAAGGAAAUACAUAGGACUUUCUGGAGCUGGUGAGUCUCCAUGUUGCUGCUUCUGGAGCCCGGAAAUCCUAGAGCUGCACACUCCCUAGCCCUGCUCCACACCCAUUGCUGGAUGCAACCCAUGCAGAACCAACACCCUCCUUCUUCCCCACAAUGACUGCAAGGCACCAGGCUGUGCUGUGCUAGAUCUGCCACUUACCCCAGACUACUACGUGCCAGGCCCUGAUGGACACCUACAGCCCACAAUCUACAUAUAAGGUUAGGACUUACCUGACACACACGCUCCUUCCAAUACAAGGGUAUCAGGACCUUAUUGUAGUUUCUGUGCAGAUGCAGGCAUGCGUACAAUGCUAAGCAUCAACCCUUACCUAGCCUCUCACUGUUUUAUUGCCUGCAUACACUACUAUUCAGUGGUAGGGGAUUUAGCAUGGCUGAAAAUUAGCAGUGCCCUGCGGGCAGUAACAGAGGUGUAAGAGACACUGAGCAUUGCCUGAGGGUAGGCACAGUCUGAGGCUCAGGACUGUGGAGUGCAGAGGUAUGUCAUACGUAGUAUUGCACAAGGGCUCAGGUAGGUGGUGAGCAAGCCCUGAAAUCAAAGAGUGUGUUUCAGACUAUCACGGUGAUGGAAGGAGUGUCCCAGCAGCCUGAUAACAAGUAGAGCACUCAUGAAUUUGACAAAAGGAUUAGGGGGUGUCUAAUAAGGCCUGAAGAGUGCACAGCCCUUAUAUUGAGAUGACUCUGUGGGAGCUUCAGGGAGAUGCUCUACAGUGUCUUAUGAAUACAGCAUUGUAUGUUGUGUGGCAGCAUUUGUGAAGUGUCUACUAUAAUAGGGUCUGACCCAUGGCGAUCAAUGUAUAAUACUAGGGGCGUCUCCAGCAGUGCCUGAGCAAUAGUAGUAUAUGUGGAGCAGAGGUGAUGGUGCUGAUACUUUAAGGAACAGUGUGUGUGUGUGUGUGU